UGGCCCCUGAAUUUAAUACACACCUUCUGAUUUACAAGCAACUAGUACUCCUAGACCCUUUAGUAUUACAUCACCCAUUACUACGACUCGUUGGGCUAGUUUUUAAUCUAUUUUUAUAUUUUCUAUUAUUACACUAAUUUUAUAUUUUCCUUUUUUAACCUAUUUUUUUUAUU
Molecule: long non-coding RNA, 173 nt
Organism: Sander lucioperca (pikeperch)
Lineage: Eukaryota; Metazoa; Chordata; Actinopteri; Perciformes; Percidae
Exons: 3
Source: RefSeq, a predicted model, not a curated record